GUAAGUGGAUUAUUGAAAUAAAAAUAAAAAACAUGGCGGUUUUCUAUCAUAUUAGAGGUACAUGUGUUGUAAACGAAUUUGCACGAAGAAUUGUUCUUCUUUUUGAAAUCAUUUUACAUACCGCUGUCUGAAAGAUUUUUCUAGAGAAAAUAUUUUAAAUCAUGAAAUAAGGCAAGUAAAGGUGUAGACUAUGAAGAAGAAAACAUGUGUUCCAUUGGGAUUUAUGAAGGAAGGAAAUUUAUGAAAAAGAAUUUAAUAGUNAAAUUGGUUNAUUAUAUCANUUNGAAUNGGAANUGGAAAGUGUNC
Molecule: ribosomal RNA, 306 nt
Filed under: Physconelloides ceratoceps
Lineage: Eukaryota; Metazoa; Arthropoda; Insecta; Psocodea; Philopteridae
Description: partial 12S ribosomal RNA
Source: RNAcentral